GCCAACGUGGUGUAGUGGUUUGAGCAUCAGACUAUGACUCUGAAGGCCUGGAUUCGAUUACCAGCUUGGCC
This is a non-coding RNA of Phrynosoma platyrhinos (Desert horned lizard), 71 nucleotides long. The record is from the annotation of a GenBank genome assembly. NCBI's taxonomy places the organism in Eukaryota, Metazoa, Chordata, Lepidosauria, Squamata, Phrynosomatidae.